RNAcentral lists this ribosomal RNA (519 nucleotides) under uncultured eukaryote. RNAcentral describes it as "SSU rRNA". It matches the Rfam family "Eukaryotic small subunit ribosomal RNA", at positions 1161 to 1704 of the family's 1831-position model. The record is from RNAcentral.
AGGGCACCACCAGGAGUGGAGCCUGCGGCUUAAUUUGACUCAACACGGGAAAACUCACCCGGCCCGGACACCGUAAGGAUUGACAGAUUGAGAGCUCUUUCUUGAUUCGGUGGUUGGUGGUGCAUGGCCGUUCUUAGUUGGUGGAGCGAUUUGUCUGGUUUAUUCCGAUAACGAACGAGACUCUGGCCUACUAAAUAGUGACAGGAUUAUUACUGUCUUGGAUACUUCUUAGAGGGACAAGUGGUUUUCAGCCACACGAAAUUGGGCAAUAACAGGUCUGUGAUGCCCUUAGAUGUCCGGGGCUGCACGCGCGCUACACUGAAGGAAUCAGCGUGCUAAAACCAUUGUCGAAAGGCAUUGGUAAACCCAUUAAAAUCCUACGUGAUUGGGAUCGGGAAUUGCAAUUAUUUCCCUUGAACGAGGAAUUCCCAGUAAGUGUGGGUCAUAAGCUCGCGUUGAUUACGUCCCUGCCCUUUGUACACACCGCCCGUCGCUGCCCGGGACUGAGCCGUUUCGAGA